RNAcentral lists this ribosomal RNA (1515 nucleotides) under metagenome. RNAcentral's name for it is "bacterial SSU rRNA". It matches the Rfam family "Bacterial small subunit ribosomal RNA". The record is from RNAcentral.
AGAGUUUGAUUCUGGCUCAGAACGAACGCUGGCGGCGUGGAUAAGACAUGCAAGUCGAACGAUCCUCACGGGGUAGCAAUAUUCUGUGAGGAGAGUGGCGCAAGGGUGCGUAACACGUGGGUAAUCUGCCGCGAAGCCUGGAACAACCCCGAGAAAUCGGGGCUAAUACCGGAUGUGAUUGCUGGAGGGCCUCCUCUGGCACUCAAAGUCGGGGACCGCAAGGCCUGACACUUCGCGAUGAGCCCGCGGCCUAUCAGGUAGUUGGCGGGGUAACGGCCCACCAAGCCUAAGACGGGUAGCUGGUCUGAGAGGACGACCAGCCACACUGGAACUGAGACACGGUCCAGACACCUACGGGUGGCAGCAGUCGAGAAUUUUUCACAAUGGGCGCAAGCCUGAUGGAGCGACGCCGCGUGGGGGAUGAAUGGCUUCGGCCCGUAAACCCCUGUCAUUUGCGAUCAAGGCGUUUGGCCUAAUACGCCAAACGUUGAUAGUAGCGGAAGAGGAAGGGACGGCUAACUCUGUGCCAGCAGCCGCGGUAAUACAGAGGUCCCAAGCGUUGUUCGGAUUCACUGGGCGUAAAGGGUGCGUAGGCGGUCGGGUAAGUCUGACGUGAAAUCCCGCAGCUUAACUGCGGAACGGCGUCGGAUACUAUUUGGCUGGAGGGUGGGAAGGGGGACUAGAAUUCUCGGUGUAGCAGUGAAAUGCGUAGAUAUCGAGAGGAACACCAGUGGCGAAGGCGAGUCCCUGGACCACUCCUGACGCUGAGGCACGAAAGCUAGGGGAGCAAACAGGAUUAGAUACCCUGGUAGUCCUAGCCCUAAACGGUGCACGUUUGCUGUAAGAGGAAUCGACCCCUUUUGUGGCGAAGCCAACGCGUUAAACGUGCCGCCUGGGAAGUACGGCCGCAAGGUUAAAACUCAAAGAAAUUGACGGGGGCCUGCACAAGCGGUGGAGUAUGUGGCUCAAUUCGAUUCAACGCGAAGAACCUUACCUGGCCUUGACAUGCACGUAGUAGGAGGGUGAAAGCCCGACGAGGUCGCAAGACCCGCGUGCACAGGUGCUGCAUGGCUGUCGUCAGCUCGUGUCGUGAGAUGUUGGGUUAAGUCCCGCAACGAGCGCAACCCCUGUGUCCUGUUGCCACCCGGCCGAGAGGCUGGAGCACUCUGGACAGACUGCCUCGCUCAAACGGGGAGGAAGGUGGGGAUGACGUCAAGUCAGUAUGGCCCUUACGGCCAGGGCUGCACACGUACUACAAUGCCCGGCACAAAGGGAAGCAAGAUCGCAAGAUGGAGCAAAUCCCCAAAAACCGGGCCCAGUUCAGAUUGUCGUCUGCAACUCGACGGCAUGAAGCUGGAAUCGCUAGUAAUGGCGCAUCAGCUACGGCGCCGUGAAUACGUUCCCAGGCCUUGUACACACCGCCCGUCACAUCAUGAAAGCCGGUUGUACCCGAAGUCGCCCUUUAACAGGUGCCGAAGGUAUGGCUGGUGAUUGGGAUGAAGUCGUAACAAGGUA